GAUGAACGCUGGCGGCGUGCCUAAUACAUGCAAGUAGAACGCUGAAGCUUGGUGCUUGCACCGAGCGGAUGAGUUGCGAACGGGUGAGUAACGCGUAGGUAACCUGCCUCUUAGCGGGGGAUAACUAUUGGAAACGAUAGCUAAUACCGCAUAAAAGUCGAUAUCGCAUGAUAUUGAUUUGAAAGGUGCAAUUGCAUCACUAAGAGAUGGACCUGCGUUGUAUUAGCUAGUUGGUGAGGUAACGGCUCACCAAGGCGACGAUACAUAGCCGACCUGAGAGGGUGAUCGGCCACACUGGGACUGAGACACGGCCCAGACUCCUACGGGAGGCAGCAGUAGGGAAUCUUCGGCAAUGGGGGCAACCCUGACCGAGCAACGCCGCGUGAGUGAAGAAGGUUUUCGGAUCGUAAAGCUCUGUUGUAAGAGAAGAACGAGUGUGAGAGUGGAAAGUUCACACUGUGACGGAACUACCAGAAAGGACG
This 482-nucleotide ribosomal RNA is filed under the name Streptococcus parasanguinis. RNAcentral's name for it is "bacterial SSU rRNA". It matches the Rfam family "Bacterial small subunit ribosomal RNA", at positions 28 to 494 of the family's 1533-position model. The record is from RNAcentral. Lineage: Bacteria; Bacillati; Bacillota; Bacilli; Lactobacillales; Streptococcaceae.